RNAcentral lists this ribosomal RNA (502 nucleotides) under uncultured bacterium. RNAcentral describes it as "partial 16S ribosomal RNA". It matches the Rfam family "Bacterial small subunit ribosomal RNA", at positions 30 to 523 of the family's 1533-position model. The record is from RNAcentral.
AUUGAACGCUGGCGGCAUGCCUUACACAUGCAAGUCGAACGGCAGCACGGGAGCUUGCUCCUGGUGGCGAGUGGCGAACGGGUGAGUAAUACAUCGGAACGUACCCAGGAGUGGGGGAUAACGUAGCGAAAGUUACGCUAAUACCGCAUAUUCUGUGAGCAGGAAAGCGGGGGAUCGCAAGACCUCGCGCUCUUGGAGCGGCCGAUGUCGGCUUAGCUAGUUGGUGAGGUAAAAGCUCACCAAGGCGACGAUCCGUAGCAGGUCUGAGAGGAUGAUCUGCCACACUGGGACUGAGACACGGCCCAGACUCCUACGGGAGGCAGCAGUGGGGAAUUUUGGACAAUGGGGGCAACCCUGAUCCAGCCAUGCCGCGUGAGUGAAGAAGGCCUUCGGGUUGUAAAGCUCUUUCGGCGGGGAAGAAAUGGCAACGGCUAAUAUCCGUUGCUGAUGACGGUACCCGCAUAAGAAGCACCGGCUAACUACGUGCCAGCAGCCGCCGUAA